CCUACGGGGGGCUGCAGUGAGGAAUAUUGGUCAAUGGACGAGAGUCUGAACCAGCCAAGUAGCGUGAAGGAUGACUGCCCUAUGGGUUGUAAACUUCUUUUAUAUGGGAAUAAAAUGUUCCACGUGUGGGAUUUUGUAUGUACCAUAUGAAUAAGGAUCGGCUAACUCCGUGCCAGCAGCCGCGGUAAUACGGAGGAUCCGAGCGUUAUCCGGAUUUAUUGGGUUUAAGGGGAGCGUAGGUGGAUUGUUAAGUCAGUUGUGAAAGUUUGCGGCUCAACCGUAAAAUUGCAGUUGAAACUGGCAGUCUUGAGUACAGUAGAGGUGGGCGGAAUUCGUGGUGUAGCGGUGAAAUGCUUAGAUAUCACGAAGAACUCCGAUGGCGAAGGCAGUUCACUGGACUGCAACUGACACUGAGGCUCGAAAGUGUGGGUAUCAAACAGGAUUAGAUACCCUUGUAGCC
RNAcentral lists this ribosomal RNA (460 nucleotides) under uncultured bacterium. Its description in RNAcentral is "partial 16S ribosomal RNA". It matches the Rfam family "Bacterial small subunit ribosomal RNA", at positions 338 to 795 of the family's 1533-position model. The record is from RNAcentral.